UACAGAGGGUGCGAGCGUUAAUCGGAAUUACUGGGCGUAAAGCGCACGUAGGUGGCGACGUAAGUCGGGUGUGAAAGCCCCGGGCUCAACCUGGGAAUUGCAUUCGAGACUGCAUUGCUGGAGUACGGAAGAGGAAGGCGGAAUUCCCGGUGUAGCGGUGAAAUGCGUAGAUAUCGGGAGGAACAUCAGUGGCGAAGGCGGCCUUCUGGUCCAGUACUGAGACUCAAGUGCGAAAGCGUGGGGAGCAAACAGG
Molecule: ribosomal RNA, 253 nt
Filed under: uncultured bacterium
Lineage: Bacteria
Description: partial 16S ribosomal RNA
Rfam family: Bacterial small subunit ribosomal RNA
Source: RNAcentral